GACGAACGCUGGCGGCGUGCCUAAUACAUGCAAGUGGGACGCAAGGGAACACACUGUGCUUGCACACCGUGUUUUCUUGAGUCGCGAACGGGUGAGUAACGCGUAGGUAACCUGCCUAUUAGCGGGGGAUAACUAUUGGAAACGAUAGCUAAUACCGCAUAAUAUUAAUUAUUGCAUGAUAAUUGAUUGAAAGAUGCAAGCGCAUCACUAGUAGAUGGACCUGCGUUGUAUUAGCUAGUUGGUAAGGUAAGAGCUUACCAAGGCGACGAUACAUAGCCGACCUGAGAGGGUGAUCGGCCACACUGGGACUGAGACACGGCCCAGACUCCUACGGGAGGCAGCAGUAGGGAAUUUUGGCA
RNAcentral lists this ribosomal RNA (359 nucleotides) under Streptococcus mutans. RNAcentral's name for it is "bacterial SSU rRNA". It matches the Rfam family "Bacterial small subunit ribosomal RNA", at positions 28 to 369 of the family's 1533-position model. Lineage: Bacteria; Bacillati; Bacillota; Bacilli; Lactobacillales; Streptococcaceae. The record is from RNAcentral.